Non-coding RNA from Pelobates cultripes (western spadefoot toad), 31624 nucleotides. Lineage: Eukaryota; Metazoa; Chordata; Amphibia; Anura; Pelobatidae. The record is from the annotation of a GenBank genome assembly.
GCAAUGCCUCUUUCAUUUACUUUCUUUUGCUGUUGUUGUUUUAGGAUAUCCACUUCCCUUAUUGAUGGAUGAUUUGUUCUUAAAGAAUGUGAAAGCUGCACACAGGAGAUACAACGUUUGGAAACGCUAUGCGAUUAUUAAAAAAAUGUAAGCUGAAUAAGGCAAUGCAUUUUACUGGAUCUAUUUUUUUUUGCAUGCCAAAUGUGGAAACAGUCUGUUAAUAAAUGAUGUAUUUAUCUGUAUGUGUAGGAGCUGGUAGGUCAUUUAGACUGGAAGUGCAGUUGUUUAUUGGAAUAUUUGUAUCUGAUUAAGUAUUAAAGCAUUUCCAUUACUAGGUCACAGGGCAACUAGAGUAAAUAUGUAAACAAAUAAAACUCCAGAUUUCUCAUCUGAUAUUUUAAAGUAGUUGUGUUGCUCAAAAUGAUUUUACAAGUACAAGUUUUCCGCUCAUUUAAAGUUCAGUCUGUCCCUCAGUGCUAGUAAAUGCUGAUUUGCAGUGAGUCAGUGGCUGCCCUGUUGCUGAGAAUUUAGAACACAGUUAUCAAAUAUUGUCUUUGCAGUUCCAUGACGGGCCAGUGAGGGCAUUUGCAGCAAGAUGAAAAUAGGGAAAGAAGAAAUAAGUAAUAAGUAAUAGCACAUAAAAGAAUCAGUCAGGUUAUGGAAAAGCUAUUGAGAGGUCUUCUAUGCCAGGCCUUUAAAUAAUACUUAAAGGGAGUCUAUAGUGUUAGGAAUACAAAGAUGUAUACCUAACACUAUCGUGCUCUUUGCUCCCCCCACUCCCUCACCUCCACCCCCAGUCGUCCCCCCCCCUCCACCCCCCAGACCAUAAAGGGAAAGAAAAUACUUAAUUUACUCACCUGACGCUUGUGCCAAUCUCCCUGGGCACUGGGUCGGUGCACCGCCUCCUCUGAUGUCAGCUGACAGGGUGACCUAAUGCGCAUACAUGGCAACCACCACAAGCCCUUCCCAGAGAAAAGCAUUGAAUCAAUGUUUUCCUAUGAGGAUGUCCAGCAACAGUUAGGUGUCCCAGAGUCCGAUAAGAUCCCGGAAGUGCCUCUAGUGGCUGACUGGUAGAAUAAAAGCUACACACUGCACCCAGAACACUUCAAUGAGCUGAAGUGCUCUGGUAUAGUGUCUCUUUGAAGUAUGUAAUGGCCAGGAGUAUAUAAUUGCAUCUACAAAGAGUAUAAUGUUUACAUAUUCAAGUACAGUUGCCUGACCAAAACCAGGCAUCUGUACCUUAUAGGGCAUUGCAAGUUGAUAUUAAAGCUUGCAUAUAUGCCUCCAUCCUCCAUCCUUUUCGGUUUGUAGAGUGUAUCAUAAAUGCCAUAAUUGGUGUGUGUGUGUGUGUAUAUAUAUAUAUAUAUAUAUAUAUAUAUAUACAAAUACAUAGUAUCCUUGCACUCUAACUAAAUGGUUACAUACCGGGUGCUUGAAAUCCUGGGGAAAAUCAAAUAUCCACUUUGCAACAGGUGACCAGCACUCACGGAUUCACAAAAAGGGUUAAAACAUCCAAAGUUUAAUGAAAAAUAUUUGUAAAAAUUUGUUGACAGCUCAACGUUUCAGUCCUCCUCUGGGACUUUCAUCAGGAACAAUAAAAGUGUCUCACAAUACCCAUCUUUAAAUAGGCACAUCAAUUAACAUAAUUACACAUUCAAUCCCAAACUGAAUUAGCAUAAUUGAAAGCCAAAUUCAAGGAAUUAGCAUACAGACAGAUAUAUAUAAAUAACGAGAUCCAACUCACCAGUGUAUAUUUGCAGUGACAGCCGGCGUUCUGAGAACGCUUUCGCGCAUGUGCGCCCAUAGCCCCUCCCCUGUCUGCAUGACCGCACGACCCCCGCUGUCAUGGUGACCGCGAAACAAACCCCGCGACACCAUGGCAGCAGCGGCACCAACGAUCGCCACAUAAAAGUGCAUAAAGCACUGAAGAAAAAGAAAAAGAAAGGGAAAAAGAAAAAGAAGGGGAAAAUAGGGACCUAAAUAUAAAAUAAACAUGGUGCAUAACAAAAACGCCUGUAAACACACCAGGGCUCCACCCACUGUGUGUAGCCGUUCCCAUGGUAACCGGACCAAAAUGCCGGUACAUAAAGUGAACAGGACGAAAAAGGGCAUACAGGCUAAAUAAUAAAAAUAUGACAAUGAAGCCUAAUCAUAUGAAUAUAUAUAAUGUGCAAAAUAUGAUUAAUAUAAAAAGUGCAUGCAGUGCAAAGCAAUGAAUUGCUAAGUUUAUAUAUAUAUAUAUAUAGACUGAAAAAAUAUGACUACUCUAUAUAUCAUAUUGAAAAAAGUGCAAUGUGCAUAUAAUCAGUGAAAAUAACCUAUAUUAUAUAGGUACAUAAACUAAUAAGGAAAAUAACCUCUAAUGAUCACAUAUUGGACCAAAGUGCAAAAUGCAUAUAAAUGAAAAUGAACAAAAAAUAGAUCAGUGAUGAUAAAGUGCAAGUGUAGUUGAAAAAAGUCAAAUAGACUAAUAAAUAAUAUAAAUGGUCUCUACAUCCCCAUCCAGAUGUAAUAGAGGGGAUUAGGCUUACCCUAAUAGAUGUAUCCACAUAUGCCAAUAAUAUAUUACAUAAAAAAUAGUGGCUAUAAACAGACAGACAUUGAAGGGGCUGGCAGCUCUACAGUGCAAAAAUAUGUAUCUUAAAAUAGGCUAUUAAAUACAUAGAGAUAAAACUAUACAGAGUUAUCCAUAAUUAAAAAUCCAUAGAAAACAGGAUAUUAAAUAAAAGAGUGAUAUGAAAUCAUUUCAUUCAAGCCAUGGGGGGCUAUAGUGUCUAAUGUAUGGAUCCAAAAUGUCUCUCGAUUCAAGAGCAGCUUAGCCCUAUCUCCACCACGUUUAGGUGGAGGGAUGUGGUCAAUGGCUAAGAAUUUGAGAGCCGACAACGGAUGUUGGUGGAGAAGAAAAUGUUUGGCUACAGGUUGGUCAGAAGUGCCAUCACGAUAAGCUACCCUGAUACUUGACCUGUGUCCCCUAAUUCUUUCACACAGAAGAGUUUCCGUUUUGCCUAUAUAGCAAAGGCCACACGGACAUGAUAAUUUAUAGAUCACAUAUGGGGUCUUACAAGUGAUCGUAUGUCGUAUAUGGAAUAACUUAUUACUGUGUGGAUGAUGGAAGACUCGCGAAGGAGUCAUAUGACCACAGGUCACGCAUCCAAGGCAGCGAAUGCUGCCCCGGGGUAGUAUACUGAUGUUCUUCUCAUAGCUUUUAGUAGGAUCCGUCUGUACCAACAGGUCUCUAAGGUUUUUAUUCCUACGAUAACAGAUAAGUGGAGGCUCUUUGAAGACCUUGGGGAGUGUGUCAUCACAUGACAACAUUUUCCAAUUGUCUUUGAUGAUCCUUGUGACUUCCAAAGAAGCAUCAUGGUAGGUAACUGGAAAGACAAAUCUAGGGGCAUCAUCUCUGACUCUAGGAGAGUUGGCCAUCUUGGCUUCUUCUAAUGCUCUCACUAGGUCAUUGCGUCGGUAGCCACGUUCCAGAAAUCUCUCCAUCAUCAUUUUAAGUUGUUCCUCCAUGAUAUUCACAUCCGAAUUAUUGCGAAUUACUCGCAGAAAUUGAGCUUUGGGUAAAGACUUCUUCAACGCCAUUGGGUGUGCACUAGUGCUAUGUAAUAUCGUAUUCCUAUCAGUGGGUUUCCUGUAGAGGCAAUAUGAAAAGGCACUGAUUCUUAAUGGAUAUCUCUAAAUCCAAAAAUUGAACUGAUGUCGUACUAAUGUUGGACGUAAAUUUAAUAGGGCUCUCAAUCUGAUUCAAUGUUUGUACCAUAUUCGUAGCUUCUAUAGUACUGCCACUCCAAAGUAAAAGCAGGUCAUCGAUAUAGCGAAAAUAUCCUUGGAUAAAUUGACCAUACUUCGAUAGAAUAUAGCGUUGUUCGUAUAUGUACAUAUAUGCAUUGGCAUACAUGGGGGCCAUAGCAGCCCCCAUGGACGUACCAGAGAUCUGGAGGUACCAUUUAUCUUCAAAACGAAAAUAGUUGUUAUUUAAAACCAAAGCGAGUAAUUCAAGAACAAACUCAAUAGGCGGGCCUUGAUAGGAUGUAGAGGAACUAAGAAUUGAUCUCAUAGCCUCAAUACCCUGUUGAUGAGGAAUAACAGUAUAUAGGCUACCCACGUCCAUAGUGAUGAGUGUAGUAAUCUCAUUUUCUAAAUUAAGAUGUCUCAGUGCAGUAAUCAAGCUAGGGGUAUCCUUAAUACACGUCUUAAGUUCCAUAAUUGGAGAUUGAAAAAGCGAAUCGAGCCAUUUGGCUAUUGGUUCAAGUAGCCCAUCAAUAGCUGAAACAAUGGGUCUACCAGGGGGAUUAGAGAGAUCUUUAUGAAUCUUAGGGAUUGUGUACAAAACCGGCGUACGGGGAUGUUGUUUAAGAAGAUAUUCACUCAAAGGAAUAUUGAUCCAACCAGAUUCUACUCCUCUCUGUAAAGCAGAUUCCACUUUCUUUUUAUAUAUAUUAAAGAAUCCAGCGCACUCGCUUAUUCACUAAACAAUGAUUUCAAAUCUUAGUGAUUGUAAUAGUUUUAUUUAAAAACACCUCACCUAGGCAAAAAAUAAUGUCCUGCCAAGAAUGGGGUACAUUGAUGUUGUGGCAGGCUUAUGCAAUAUAUGAUGAAAUAAUGUAACUAAACCCCCAUUAUUUUUUGCCUAGGUGAGGUGUUUUUAAAUAAAACUAUUAAAAUCUCUAAGAUUUGAAAUCAUUGUUUAGUGAAUAAGCGAGUGCGCCGGACUGUAUAUUUUGUAUAUUCUGGCCCCAGCAGCACCCUAUAAUGUAUGCAUGUUCAGGUGAGUGCAUCCCUCUUGGUUUUAUUAUAUAUAUAUAUAUAUAUAUAUAUAUAUAUAUAUAUAUAUAUAUAUAAAUAAAACCAAGAGGGAGGAAGACCUGAAGAGGUCGAAAUGUCGAUCAGAUGUAUGUUACCUGUUAUUAAAUAAUAUCGAGUUUUUUUACAAAGACCUGAGAGUGCAUCUCUUUCCUUUUUGCUUUAUAUAUAUAUAUAUAUAUAUAUAUAUAUAUAUAUUUAUAUUUGUAGUCGGGAACAAUAAGCUGUAAUAAGUACAAGUACUUUGUGAUGUGCAGUAACCGACUUAUCAGUUAGGCCUGUAAUAAGAGAGGGCACAACCAUUAAAUUGUAAUAAAGGGGAGAGAUGUGAGGGAUGUACCCAGCAGUUACGGUCCUGUAAUGGAGGGGGCCUAAGUUUAAAUAGCCGGGUAACCCCUCCCACAAUUACAGGCUCCACCUUUCUAUUUGUAGUCGGGGACGAUAAGCAGUAAUAAUGAAAAGAUAGUGGUAUACACAAGUCGCUUGUGAUGUGCUGAAACCGACGUAUCAGGUAGGCCUGUAAUAAAAAAAAGGCAAAAAGUUGAAAUAUAUAUACUUUUUUUCAUACACAUUACAAUGCUAUUUUUUUUAAUGCUACUCUUAAUUCCUGCUCUGGCUGAGGAAUAUAUCUGGCAUAGGUCACAGAUUUACAGCAACCUAAUCUUUUUUUUUUAUUAUUUAAAUGUUUAUUGACAAUAUUUUCGAAGGGGAGGGGUACAGAAGUAAAAAGAGGAGGGGGGAGGUUAACAGAGGUGGUGCGUGGUACGCGGUACAGCUUGAUAAUGCUUAAUUAGUACACAGCAUAUAAUUCACAAGAUAUGAUACAUAAUAUAAUAUGGUGCGGUACCUGGGAUACAGUAUACACAAGUCUCAUACGCCGUUGCUUGAUAAAUGUAGUGCUUAGUAUAGUGCUAUGUGCGGCGUAUAUGCCCUGUUUUCUCCUAUGUCAAAUUGCGAUGCACGACUGUCAUGCCACCUGUGCAAGUAUCUAGCGUCGUGUGGCGUUUAGGUAUGAUUGCGUCUUGUGCAAAUGCUGUGCUCGGUUUGCAUAGUUUCCGGCUCUCAGUCAAAAUCCCAGGGGUGUUGGGUCUUUGGGGGUACUGCUGUGAACGGGUUGGAGGGGGGGGUUUGGCAGGUGUUUGUCCCAGUAUGCUAUCCAUGGUGCCCAUGAGAUUAGGAGGUUUGUCCUGCAUGCUGCUGUUUGGGUAGAUAAGCAUUCGUGGAUAUAGUAUUGAUGAAUUUUUGCCAAUAGGUUGGGCUUGGAGGGACACUGUGGCGAUUUCCAAUGGUUUGCUAUGAGGUUUCUCACCGCUAAUGCUAUGAUAGCCAUGACACAUUUUAUAUGUUUCGGUGUGGGCGUAGGAUACAGUAAAAAAAGGCCUGUGUCAAGGGGCGGUGUGGUAAUGCCAAUGGUUUGUAUUAUGUUUUGUGGCGUCUUCCCAUAGUGGGCGUAUGCGUGGGCAUGACCACCAAACGUGAGUCAUAGUACCACUGUCUAUCCCGCAUCUCCAGCAGUGAGGGGGAACCGUUUUAUACAUUUUAUGAAGCCUCUGGGGUGUGAGGUACCACCUGUAAACCAACUUCUUGUGUGCUUCAAUGUGGGAGUAGCAUCGUGUGAGCCCCUUAAGUGCGUUCAGAGAGGUUAGGAUUUCUGUAUCAGAUGUCAGUAGGUCGCAUUCUGAUAGCCACUGUUUCACAAAUGUUGGGGGUUGAGGAGGUGAUAAUCGUAAAAGAGUCCUAUAGCAUGAGGUGAGGGAUUUGGAUUUAGUCGGGGUCUGCCAGCAUCUAUCGUAUAGGGCUUCCAUGUCUGGGAAGUCAGAGCUGUCGGCUACUGUGUUGCGUGUGACGUGGGAAGGGAUUAUGCUUUUGAGUUGCAUGUAGAGAAACACUGAGGAGUUGGGCAGGUGGAAUUCUUUUUGUAGAUCUGGGAAGGAUUUGAUGCGAUUUAGGUGGAGGACUUGGUCGAGCUUGGUUACCCCGUGUUUGACCCACGAGUUCAGUGAGAGCCAGGGUGAGAUUGCUUUUAGGGUUGUCAGUGGUGAGCGUGGGUGGAAUUUGUAGGUGACAUUUUGCUUUUGACGGGUGGUGUCCCAGUGAUGUAGGGCUAGGAUAGUGGUGGGUAGGAGCGUAUUGUCUUUGGGUCUCAAUGUCUUUGGUGUCCAAAGCAUAUUUGUUAGCGAGGUGCUGGUGAGUCGGGCUGUUUCCAUGUCAACCCACUGGUAUACCCCUCUCGGAGUGUGUAGUUUCACUGCCGCCUCUAAGUUGGCUGCUUUGUAGUAGGUGUAUAUAUCUGGGAGGCCAAUUCCUCUGUCUGUUCGAUGAUUUUGGAGAAAGCGUUGGGAAAUUCUGGGUUUGCGGGUGUCCCAGACGUAGGAGGAUAGUACUUUUUGGAGUGAUUUGAAAAAGUUUUGUGGGACCCGUAUAUGUAGGAGACGGAAAAUGUACAGUAGUUUAGGGAGGAGGACCAUUUUGACCGUAUUGAUUCUGCCUAGCCAUGAAAGUUUAACUGGUUUCCAUUUUUGGCAUUCUGAUUUGCAUAGGCUUAGGAGUGGUUUGUAAUUGUAUUGGAAUAAUAGGUCCGUUGUAGGCGCAAUUUUGACCCCGAGAUAAGUGAUGUAGUUUGAUCUCCAGUCAAAAUCGUAUUUGCCCAUGAGUGUUUGAACAAAAUCUGUGGGGAGACCUAAUGGUAAUGCUUGUGUUUUCGUUUGGUUUAGUUUAUAGUAUGUUAGUUUGCCAUAUCCCCCUAAGAUUUGCAUGAGGGCGGGUAGUGAUGAGGGCACAUCUUUCAGUGUUAAGAGGAUGUCAUCUGCGAACAUGGAUAGUUUGUGAUCAGUCCCCCCUAUCCUAAUGCCUUUGAUUUCGGGCUGACGUCUAAUUAUGUGUGCAAGCGGUUCUAGAGAGAGAGGACGAACAGAAGUGGGGAUAAGGGGCAACCCUGUCUUGUGCCGUUGGUUAUGUUGAACGGGGUGGAGAGGAAUCCCGCCUGUGAGACUUGUGCUGUCGGGGUAUUGUAUAGGGCCAUGAUACCAGAAAUUAUUGGUGUCGUGAAGCCGAAUGUACUUAAAACUUGUUGCAUAUAGUCCCAGUUGAGCCUGUCGAAGGCCUUCUCUGCAUCUAGUGCUAGGAGAAGGCCUUGUCCUCUGGAAUCGUGUAUAUGUGAUAGAAUGUUCAGGAUUUUCCUAGUGUUGUCGGAGCCUUGUCUUGUCUUGACAAAGCCCGAUUGGUCGUUGUGUAUUAAUGUGGGGAGAAUAGCAGACAACCUGUUAGCUAGGAGUUUCGCGUAGAGUUUGACAUCUACGUUCAGUAGGGAGAUUGGUCUGAAGUUUUGGCACUGGGUUUGGGGUUUGCCUGGUUUUGGGAGAGUGGAGAUGUGGGCUUUUAGCAUUUCUGGGGGUAGGGCUCCCUGCGAAUAGCAGUGGUUAAAGAGUGUGGAUAGGUGUGGAGAUAGAAUGGUAGCGAAGGUCUGGUAAUAGAAAUUGGUAUAGCCAUCAGGGCCUGGUGCUUUGUGUUUGGGGAGUCGCUUGAUUGUUGUUUCUAGUUCUUGGGUGGUGAAUGGUGCGGUGAGGGAGCUUAUAGCUUCCUGGGAGAGUUUGGGUAGAUCAGUUUGCGCUAGAAAGUUUUGAAUGUCUAGUGUGGAUGGCGGGGUGAUCGCGGGGUCCUCCUUGAGGUUGUAGAGUGUGCUGUAGUAAGCAGCGAAUGCGUCGGCUAUGUUUUGUGGGUUUGUGAGUUUCUGUUUCGUAGAUGUGGUGAUAUACGCUAUUCUUGAGUGGGCCAUGCGCGCUUUGAGUCUGACUGCUAGUAGAGCCCCUGCUCUGUUCCCUUGUGAAAAAAAAUUGUGUUUAUAUCGUUGAAGCAUGUAGGUAGUUUUGGCUUGUUCUAUGUCUCUAAGUUUGGUUUGAAGAAUGGAUAGCUCGUGUUGUAGUGUUUGUGUAGGGAGGGUCUGCCUUAUUUUUAUGAGUGAGAUCAGUGAUUUUGGUGAUUAGGGUGGUGUAUUCUUUAAAUCUUUGCUUUUUAGCGUGGCUUCCUGCCUUAAUCAGCAGGCCUCGUAUUACCGCCUUAUGUGCGAGCCAGACGGUAGUCGGGUUGAUGUCAGGGGUUGUGUUUGUUUUGAAGUAUUCGGUAAGGUCGUUUUUUAAUUGGUUUACAAUGACGGGGUCUUGUAGUAGGGAGUCGUUCAGUCGCCAUGUACCCUUACCUACGGUGGGGCCCUUUUCCGUGAUGGUUAGAGUAAGCAACCUAAUCUUUUGAUGAUAUGAGCAGGGAGAUUGUCACCGGGUAAGAAGACAUAAACAGGCUUGUGCUGGGAAAUGCGCUUAGGAUGUGAUGUUGGAUGCCAGUCGUUAGAGCUUGAUGGUAUUAAGAGAGAGUUUUAAAUUGAGGUAGCAAAAAGAGAUAAACGCCACUAUUGAUUAUAGUGAAUGAGUGUUGCUAAUGUGGUAAUUGGAGGUAAACUUAUAAUAAAUGGUAAAUGCUCUAUCGUAAACACGUGACGUAUUGGCUGAAAGGGCCGAGCUAGCCAUAAGUCAAUAUGUGAUUUAGUCCAGGAUUAAGUCUCGGAAUGAGGGGUUGUUGACAGGGGUGUUGUUGGGUGUGCUUUGAAUUUUUUUUGAAAAUUAGCAUGAGAUGAUGCAUCAGCAGCUUUAUUAAUGCGUGCGGGGAUGUGUAUGCAAGUGAUAUGAAACUGUAGUGCAGCUGCCAACCAUGUAGGCUGUCUAAUGAAUCUCAUGAUAGUGAGGGAUGAGGAUCAGCCUUUGUUAAUGAUGUCACAGGCUGUUUUAUUGUCGGAAAAGCAUUUAACUGCUUUCCCCUUCCACUGAUACCCCCAGGCCUUCGAGGCGGCCAUAAUAGGGUAGACUUCAAGCAAAGCUUAAGUUGUGUGGAACGAGGGUAGACCGAGGGUCUCGACUGGCGAUGAGUCUCUGAACCAGGAGUCACCAAAGAUCGCUGCAAACCCUGUGUGGGCUGCGGCAUUGGUCCAGACUAUGGGGGAAUGAUCCGAGAUGGGGGGAUGAACAUUGCUCUCCCAUUCCAAUGGGACAAGAACCUGAGCCACAUGAGUAAAUCUGUGUUGGCGUGCAUAUCCAAAGACGUGGUACUAUUGUCUGUAUGAGGAUGGGGAAGAAGGCACAGCAAUCGGGAAAUAAAUGCCCAGCCCUGUGGAAUUAGUCUCACAGCAAAGUUCAACGUGCCUAGUAAAGAUUGUAGUUCUACCCUAGUACACCUGUUCUUGGCAAGAAAACAUUCCACAGUUUCCCUGAUGUGCUGUACCUUCUCUAUCGGUAAACUUGCUUGUAAUUUUACUGUGUGGAGCUGAAUACCCAGGAAGAUAACUUUGGUGAAAGGACCUACAGUUUUUUCCCAUGCAAGUGGAACCUUAAGGUAUGAAAAAAGAGCCAUUGUCUUUUGAAUGCUAUUAGGGGUAGCCUGGGGGUCCUCGGUUGUGAGAAAAUCAUCUAAGUAAUGUAUGACUGAAGGGCAAUCACAGAUAUUAAGAAGAAGCCAACGUAGAGUAUUGGCAAACAAGUCAAAUAACGUGGGAAUACUCUUGGCACCAAAUGUCAGAUGAGUGACAAAGUAAUACCUAUCUCACCACAUUAUACCGUGCACAUGCCACAGGGAUGAGUGUAUGGGUAAAAGCUUAAAGGCAUUUGAAAUGUCUGUUUUCCCCAACCAAGCACCAAUGCCUGCCUUCAGUAUGGCAUGAGUGACAUCGUCCACUGUAGCGUAGUGCAAGGAUAACUCUUCAGAGGGAUUAGUGAAUUAAGGCUUGGAGUAGGCAAUUAAUGUGGAGCCAAUAAAUCGAUAAUUAGACCGUUUUUAUUGUUAGAUUUCCCUGUGGCUAUACCUAUAGGGUUGGUACACCAGCACAAGAAAGGUUUAUGUAAGAAAGGGGAUAUAAUUAAUACGUUGUCCAACUCUUUCUUGAGUAAUACGUCACUGUUGAGGGGGUCAAGUAGAGCGGACUAUAGGUUUUGAGACUCGUGGAUACCAGUGAGGAGUAUAGUAGGCCAGUGUGUAAACAGUCUGUGAAACCUUGAACCAAAAAGUCGGGAUGGGUGUGCUUGGAGAUAAUACGCCAAGUUAUCAAUGCAAACUAGUGAUAGGGAGAUUCGGAUCCACUGGGCAUAUGUUAGUGGAAUGGGAGAUAGAUGCACAAAUGGCACAAGACGAUGGUUUGGGACCCACAAAGUGAUGACAGAACAACUUUGUGUCGAGCCUACUCCAGUCGGUAUGAGAAUUGAAUUGCAAGGGUUGCUGCCGCUUUGUCCAAAAAAGACUUGUGGUAGUCGAAGAAAGAAAACCAACCGUACUUGUACCCCGGAUGCACCAACUUAUGCAUAUAGAGAUCCAACUCUUCCCUACGGUGAGGUGGAGCAAAUUACAUCACGAUAUAGUCCAAAUAUGAAGACAAAUUCAGGUAUAGUGAGUUUACAAAUGAGUCUGUGGUCUCUGGCUUUCAGGACAACGGAUAGGUCACCAUGGGAGUAGGAUUUAUUCUCCAACACAUCCUGAGAGGCAAUUGGCAAUGACACUUUGAAACCCAUUGGUCGAAAUGCUUCAGUGUAAUUGUUACAUUUUUUUGUUAUAACCACUUUUAUUAUUUAUUUUUUUUAAAGCUAAUUUUAAGCAUUUUAACUCCAAACCUGCACAUUAUUAUUUUGCUGAUUCUUGAGACCAGCCGUGAUAUCUGCAAAAGCGGAGGAGUGGACUUACAUUUGAAAGGAUAUCUGAGCAUGCUGUUAUAGUCAGAGCCUACUACACGUGGCUCUGAAAAUUGUGAGUUGGAAUUUGACAUCACAAAUAAGAGUGUACCCACCAUACAGUAUUAUGCUAAGCAUAAUUUUUAAUAUUUAGGUGGAGUACAUAUAAUAUGAAGAACCAGUGUGAAUAAGUAUCAAUUUUGUUACUCCUCUGUUAUCACACUUAUUGUAGAGCACCCCCUAUCUCUAUUCUUUCUAAUUAUUGUUUUGUGUUUUUAAAGUGGUUUUCUAACACUGGGGAAGUCAGAGCACCUCACCUCACUUGUAGUAAUGAAACUAAGUUCACGUCUUUGCCUUCCAGGAUGUCCUUGCGAAUAGUGGGGGGAACUAAGUGAGCGGGAGUGACGAUGUGAGCGGAUGUGCUAGGAGUAGAGUUCGAAGAGAUGAGAUUACCCAGAGAUGUAGAGGGAGUGGGGAACCCCGUAGGUGAGCUGGGUGUCAGUGAUUGACGAGAUUCUAGUUUUUAUAGCUGGACGCUAACAGUGUUAAAGGAGGUGAGUAGGGUGGUCAUCAUACUUUUGAUCUCAGUGUAGUUAAAGCUCAACUUUGCGAGCUCCGUCUGUAAAGCUCAACUUUGCGAGCUGUGGCUUGAAAUGGAAUCCCUAAAUGCCUUAAUUCAGCUGCAAGUCUCGGGAUGGUCCAGGGGCGUAGGGAACAAGGGCUAGCUGAGUCUGAAUGAACCCAGCGGUUACGGUCCUGUAAUGGAGGGGGCCUGAGUUUAAAUAGCCAAGUAACCCCUCCCACAAUUACAGGCUAUAUAUAUAUAUAUAUAUAUAUGUAUAUAUAUAUAUAUACUCAGCACACUCACUCAGUAAACACAAACUUUAAAGUUCACAGAAUGUAACAGAUUUUUUUAACCUAAGCAAAAAUAAAACAUAUUUAGUUACAGUAUAUGAUCAUACAUUGCAAAAGCCUGUCACAAUGCCAAUGCACCCCAUUUUUGGCAAGUUCUAUCCUAGCAAUCUAUUUGGUAAAUACUUCCCUGGGACUCUCUCUAUGCAAAAUCUAUUGUAGCCUGUGCAUACACAUGAUUGAGAGAAAAUGGGUUAAGCAGCUAAAAUGGUAAACCACUCAGAUACAGUAAACAGCAGAGCUCAGCAAAUGUUUUAUAAAACAAAUUGUGCUGUGCAACAUUCUGCCCACUGCAGCUUUAUUAAGGCAGCAUUAUCUACAGCAUACUAAGUAGCCUCCCUGCUGCUUAGUUUCAUUCUGAUUAUCUUAAUGGAUAGGAUAUAGGAGGCAGUAUGGUAUCAAACAAGGUUGGGGUGCUUAGCUUGGUAGUAAAACAAAGGGAAUUUAUUGUGCUGAUGCAUAUAAUUGUAUACCUGUUUCGCUUUAUUAAAUUGUGUUGAUUUCCUUAUUCAUCCAGCAUGAAUUUUCUAUAUUAUAGUUAUUUUGCUAUAAAAGUUCUUUCUACUUGUAAUUCUUUCUGGAGGAAUAAAAAUGUCUAACACAAACCUUUAAGUCCACAGAUCCUUUUUUUUAGGUGCCAAAUAAAGAAGGUGACAUUUUGGCCACACACAGCCAUGAGAAAGACUGUGUGUGGCUGAAACUCCAUCUUUUUUUUCUUUGGCACUUCAAUAACGUAUCUGGGGAUUUAAAGGUUUAAGCUGGACAUUUUUAUUUUUUCUAUAUUAUUGUUGGCUGGGGCAGAGACAUGGUCCAUGCAUCCUAAAGUGACCAGUAUCUCCAAUGUUUGUUUUUGCUGUAAUUCUUUCUGAAGCAGGCUAUGCGUUGUCAAACAGUCACUAUGGUAUAAUAAUUAAAAAAAUGUAUUUCGGUCAUAUGGUUAAGAAUGUUUCUAAUGUUGGUCAAGCUUAUCAGUUACUUACAAUAUAUUUUAGAAGGAGACAACAUAUUUAUAGGCAAUAUUCAGCUUUGGGUUGGGCAACCUUAAGUACCCAAAUAGGUUCAGUUAAAGAGAGAUACCGUGUCCCAGAGGAAGUCCAAACAGGUGAAUGAAACAUGUAGGACUUAUUGCUGUUUAUUUUAUUUGAUACAUUGCAUUCCUACUGACUUGGCAGUGGAUUGGUACCUAAACACGUCCGGGUGCAGUCAAGAGGUGUGAGACGUUGCCUGCCAGAAAUACCUGCUAUAUGCUUCAAUAUAUUAUACACUCUUUCUAUAAAGGUUUUAAGGUGUAUUUGGUAUAUUGCGCUAUUGUGGUUGUUUCUUUCAUCCAUAUGUGAAUACUUUGUACUUAAUAUGAACAUAGACUUGAAGAGAUAUGAGCUGGAGAUUUAUUCCAGUUACCAUGGAGAUAGUAACUGGACAAUUUUCUUCGUGGAGGAUUAACCCCAUCGUUGUUGCGUAUGGUAAAUUCUCAUUAAACCCUUGUCUUACUAGUACUGCUGUAUGUUAUCUUUUCUGUUGUAAUUGGAUAAAAAGUUCAGUAAACAAAAAAUCUAAAAAAAAAAGUCUAAUUUAUGACUUGUCAGCACCUCAUAAUUCUUCUAUUUCUAGCCUCAAUUAACUCAUCCAUUCUGAAGAAUUCUCUCUCAAAUAGGUAACUAUAGAUACAGCCAUCCAACAUUAUUAUUAUCAUCGCCAUUUAUAUAGUGUCAACAGAUUCCGUAGCGCUUUACAAUAUUAUGAGAGGGGGGAUUUAACUAUAAAUAGGACAAUUACAAGAAAACUUACAGGAAUGAUAAGUUGAAUAGGACCCUGCUCAAACGAGCUUAUAUUCUAUAGGAGGUGGGGUGUAAAACACAAUAGGACAGGAAAUAGCAAUCAAAUAAGGUGGGAGUGAAACAGAGCUGGAGGAGAGAGUAGAGUGUUGCCCUUUAGGAGAGAGCAAGAGACAGGUAUGUAAGGUAGAGGUUACUCUGGGAGGCCAUAAGCUUUCCUAAAGAGAUGGGUUUUAAGGCACCUCUUAAAUGAUUAUAGACUAGGGGAAACUAGGGGAGUCUGAUGGCAGUAGGCAGGCUAUUCAACAGGAAGAAAGCCACCCGCGAGAAGUCCUGCAGGCGUGAGUUGGCCGUACGGGUGCGAACAAUGGACAGGAGAAGGUCACGGGCAGAGCAGAGAGACCGAGAAGGGACAUACCUAUGGAUCUGUGAGGAGAUAGAAGAGGGGCUAGAAUUGUUCAGUGCUUUAUAGGUGUGAAUUAGUUCCUUGAAUUGAUUAUAGGAUACAGGAAGCCAAUGUAAGGACUGACUGAGGGGUUAGGUGUGAGAGAACUGACUAGAGAGGAAAAUCAGUCUGGCGGCAGCAUUUAUUACAGAUUGUAGCGGUGCAAUACGGCUUUUGGUAAUACCAAUCAGGAGAGGGUUACAAUAAUCCAUGCAGGAAAUUACUAGAGCAUGGACAAGCUCCUUGGUAGCAUCUUGGGUAAGGAAGGGGCAGAUGCGGGCUGUUUUUAAGAUUGAAUCUACAGGAUUUGGCAAUAUACUGGAUGUGAGGCUCAAAGGUGAGGCCAGAAUCAAGUAUGAUGCCAAGACAGUGCGCUUGAAAGGAUGGACUGAUGUGGAUACCACUAACCUGAAGGGAGAGCAAAAGAGGAGGAUCAGUAUAAGGAGAAGGAAAGACAAGGAGCUCAGUUUUAGAGAGAUUGAAUUUCAGAAAGUGGGAGGAAAUCCAGUCAGAGAUGGAAGAAAGGCAAGCAGUGACACGUUGUAGCACAGCAGGACAGAGAUCCCGGGGAGGAGAGAUAUAUCUGGGUGUCAUCAGCGUACAGGUGGUAGUGGAAUACAAAACAGGUAAUAAGUUUGCCAAGAGAGGCAGUAUUCGGUUGUUAGUAACUUUGAUAAGAGCAGUCUCAGUAGAGUGGAGAGGGCGGAAGCCAGAUUGAAGAGGGUCAAGGAGAGAGUUGGAAUUGAGGAAUUGAGACACACAGGUAAUGACAAGUCUUUCCAGAAGCUUUGAGGAAAAAGGGAGCAGGGAUAUAGGGGGGUUAGGCUGAGGUUGUUGAGGUGAAGGGGUACUCAAGAGCAAACAAUAAGAGGUGGUGAUCAGAGAAAGGAUAUGGAGUGGAGUGCAGAUAUUAGAUACUGUACAUGCAUAAGAGAAGAUGAGGUCGAGGGAUUGCCAGCUAUAUGGGUGAGAGAAUUAGCCCACUGCAAUAGCUGAGGGAGGAAGUAAUUGAAAGUAGUUUGGAGGCUGCUGAGGUGAGAGGUGGGUAAAUGGGAAUAUUGAAGUCCCCGAGAAUUAAGGAUAAAAUAUUAGAAGAGAGGAAAUAGGGUAGCCAGGCAGCAAAAUGGUUUUGUUGUCUUUCCCAGUAAAAAAGCUUCCCUAUCUAAAGCAGAUAUUUCGGAAGCUUUUAAACUACUUUGAAUUCAUCCAUCAUUCUGGCAUCUAUAUGGCAUAAAAAGGACAAAUACUGAGGGGGCAGAGCUCGACCCUGGAGCGGCCCAGACAUGUGUUACAUGGGCUCCUGACUCCUUGGCCGAUUUGGGAGUGCUAAUUCCAGCCAAGGACCAAUUCUGCCCACUCAAGAGUGCUCCUUGGGUCGGGGUUUCCCGGAUAAACAAAUAGAGAUAUUACUCGUGACCUUACUUCACCGGGAUCCCAAGCAGUUCUGUAGAGGCCUGUUGUGGUUGGUGUUAGGGAAAGGCGGCCGAUCUCCCUGCUCACAAUUUCUCUUGGACCGGUGGGGAUUAUCCCGGUCCUCUUUGGACUGUUUUGAGCAACGUAUGCUGCACUUACCUCGCUCUGAGUUACCCCCGAAACAUACUCCAGCCAGCUACGACAUUUAAGAUGGCAACUGAUCUUUGUGUUACUGGAGGCCUUGCCUCAUGCGCUUACGUAUUGCUGCGUCUAGAGGGGCACUUUCGGGCCUUAUGGAGAAAACUUCAGGCAUGCUGCAUAUCAUCUCUAUUUCAACCGCAGGGAGGUGGUCGAAGGCGCAAGGUGCAGGAGAGGAGGGAUUCCUCACGAAGCAAAUCAACCUUGAAACUGCCUCAACACACAUGGGCCUGCUGUCCCAGACUGAGGGCUUCCCACACGGCGACCAUGCAAGCCGAAGUUCAUACGCCAAAGGAGGCGCUCACUACCUGGUUCUUUCACCUACUCCUACUGGGGGAAACACUUCCCACCCACAAAUCACCAUCUCUGCAGUUCCUGGAUGCCGGUCCUCAUUCAGAUAUGCCCUGGCGCUACGUUUUUGAUGUUCCGGGGAACUCUCUAGGCAGUGCUCUACAUUUCAUGCCUCAAGGAAUAGGCUAAUGCCAUCUUGUCUUAAAUAAUCUGCAUGCCUUACUAAGGAUCACUAUACCUAUACCUGUUGAAUAUAUUUGCUUCUUUUUAUUUUUGCAUGUAGUGCAGCAAUCUAAUAUAGACCUAAUUACAAUGGUUUUACUCUUUACAAAAUUAUUCUAGCAUGAUAUACCAUACUAUUAUAGUCAUGCUACUUAUCAUUAGCUUAUAUUAUGCCUCAAGUUCUAUGUUCAUGUUUUUAUAUUACCAAAAUUUCCAGUAUAUAAGAAUACCACACAGAUUUUAUACUACAAUGUUUUGCUAUGCUCUUGAUAUCACUGUUGUAGCGAAUAAUACUUGCUUGUUUUUUCUUGCACAUCAAAAAAAAUGAUUUUUUUUUUUAAAAGGACAAAUACUAUUUUGCAACUCAUCUAACAUUGGUUCUACUGUCAGAGGACCUUUGCUAAAUAUUAAUUUUAUCAUCUGACAGGAGGCUUCAUAUUUGCAUUACUCGCUUUACUGAAACUCCCAGCAGCACAGAUCAUAAGAGAACAACCAAUCAAAAAACACUUCAAUGUUAUAGAAAAGGACCUGUCACACACACAACUUCCUCUUUCUUUGCUGCUCCAGCCAUGCACAGGUCAGAGUAGUUUGUCCUUGUGACUGUUUACUGUUACUUGUCUGAUUUAUUCUGUAUUCUGUGUAAUGAUUCAUUGGUAUUUAAGAUUGCUUUAUUAGCUGAUAUAUCUUUCUACAGUUUGAAGAUUGUUUUAUUAGGUAAACUGAUUUAUAGGUUGUAUUCUCUCAUGUGUGUUAUUCCACUGUAAACAAAGGUUGCUAUAUUUGUAUUAUAUGGGUAUUUACCCUGCUAUUCUUGUUAGCUUCCCCCCCACCGUUCUUCUAAUACUUGUUUCCCCUUUUUACUUGCUUUUCACAACCCUCUUUGAUGCCUGCUCCCUCUCUCCCUUCUCUCCUGGAGCCUGGGACUGCCCUGGUCCCUUGCCCCUCGCGCGGUCGCCGCGAUCGCGCUCUUUUCAGCCUGUUUAUACUUAUUUGGAGAUAGCUAAGGGAGUGUGUGGGUGGUGGGGGUGCUCAGCGCGAUUCUUCCUUGACCAUCGGGCCGGCAAAACCGUGGAUUGCGCCAAUCGUUGCGUGUGCAGCGGUCAUCUUGAAUCUCGCGAGUGCCGCGAGAUUCACGUCGGCCAUUUCUUUUUUUCCUUCCAGAUUGGUAUUACUGCGAUCUGGACUAAAUAUACUUACCUUCAAGCUGUAUCUGAGUCUCCACACUCACCACUGGAGACUGCAGUGUUGAUUUCUCAGCCACAGUUAAGGUACCUACUACAAGUGAUUACACAUACAUGCUGGGCUGAUACAUGCUGUUUGCUGACAACAGAAUGACAUACACUGCGGUGUGAUUGCUAUGUGGGAAUUUAUUGAGCUUCACAGCCAUAUACACUGUGCCAUCCCACUGGAGACUGCAGUGCUGAGUCUCAUCCUCGGUUAAGGUACCUACUACAAGUUAUUCAAUAUGUGCUGGGCUGUUACAUGCUGUUUGCUGACACAACAGAAAUUGACAUACACUGAGGUGUAAAAGCUAUGUGGGACCAUGCUGGAUUUAACAGCCAUAUACAAGGUGCCUUUUUGGUUACAUUAGUUGCCAUAUGUGGCUGUCCUCUGGUUCUCAUGACACACCACCUGGGGUGAGCUCCCAGAUAUCCUCAUAGGUGUUCUGCACAUUACCUAUAGGGAUCUCCCACAUCCUUUAUGUUGUCUGGAAAUACAUUAUCACACCAUGCAGAACUAUCACACAUGCUGUGUACACCUGUUUUAUUGCUGACCACGGAGGUACAGCUUUGACGUGUAACUAGGGUGAACCCCUCGAAGAUACGUCACCUUGGCAACAAUUACAAGGUUAACCCCUCAAUAAUACUCCGGAUGGGGAAUUAGGCUGGGGAUCAACCCCAUGAUUCUGAGACUACCACGUCUCCCAUUCACUUAAGGGAAACCCCCCUUUCGUACACAUAGAGGGUGUAGACGUCUAUACCGUGAAGCCCAUCCCUGGGUGAGCCCCAGUUGUACUAAGAGACUGGCACCUUCCGUGCGUCUCCAUUUAUCUUGCUCCCACUGAUUGUCGCUGUCCUCUUAUAGGCAGACCAACCAUCAUGAACAACACCCCUCCACCAACGCAGAACUUUCAGGCCAUGAUUAUCGCAGCGUCAGUUGAAAAGGCCCUACUACGGGUCCUGCCCCAACCUCAGCAAACAGGGCCACAAGACUCUGAUGCCGCCCCAGGUUCUGACACUCCACUGAGCCAGACCGGGCCCGAACGUCACAUGAAGGGUUCCAGGUCCCCGAAAGGGAGUAAGUCUAGGGGCAAAGCUCAGUUAAAAUUAAAUGGGGGUACCAAUGUUCGAUCCACGCACUAUACGAUACCCCAAGUCGUCGGUAUGGACAAUGCCAGAUCAUCUGGCCCAAUUCAGCCAUUAUUGGCUCCACAGGCCACUGGACAAGGAAGUGCAGGCACGCAUAUGAACAGAAUGCCCCCGCCCCCUCCUCCUCCCAGACAAGGUGGCUAUCACUCCAGUAUUUGACACCACGGUAGUGGUUUUCAUGUCCCGGGCUGGCAGAGACCCCAGGAAGGACAUCGAUAAAGGGGCUAAAGUCGGCACAAAACAAGCCAUUGGAUCUACUAGGCCCAUAGGCUACAAUCCUAUUCUUUGUGGAUUUGGCCCUCCCAUAGGGCAUGCAGUUGGACCCAAGUGACUUCCGUGAAUGGGCCCAGCGCUCUAUCUGCAUGCUGGGUAACGCCAAUGUGACCCUCUGUACAGUAAGACGCAAGACAGCACUGUUGAGGAAGGACUCAAAACUCUUGGAAUUGGGCUCCAAAGAACUGGGACCGUUGGCAAAGUGACUCAUAUUCUGUAAACCUUUUAUAGCAGAGUUUAAGCGACAACCUCUUCAUGGCGCUGACCAAAGCCCAACCUUCACUCAAGCACGGCUGCAGACCACCACCCAGCAGGGGUGUCUUUGAUGUUCCGGGGAACUCUCUAGGCAGUGCUCUACAUUUCAUGCCUCAAGGAAUAGGCUAAUGCCAUCUUGUCUUAAAUAAUCUGCAUGCCUUACUAAGGAUCACUAUACCUAUACCUGUUGAAUAUAUUUGCUUCUUUUUAUUUUUGCAUGUAGUGCAGCAAUCUAAUAUAGACCUAAUUACAAUACGAUUUUGGUCCACUGGACCCAGAUCCUAUUCACAAUCACCCUUCUUCCAUCCUACAGAACUGAUUUGAGAUCACGGCAGACACUUGGAUCCUGCAGACAGUUCAAGGCUAUGCCAUCAGGUUCCACUCCCAACCCAUACAAACUGCCCAACCACCUCCAUUGCAUGUUGCAAGAGAACGCUGACUCCUCAUAGACAAAGAGAUUUGCUCUAUAUUCGCCAAAGGCACGGUACAAUUCUUCCCGGAUGAUUGGGGCUUCUAUGGCAACAUCUUCCUGGUCCGAAAAAAGUCAGGAGACUUUCGGCCAGUCAUCAACCUCCACCAGCUCAACGACUGUGUCGUCUAUCAACAUUUUAUAGUGGAAGGUAUAUAUCUACUCCGGGAUCUUCUGCUGGUAAUUGAUUGGCUCACCCGUCUCGAUCUCAAGGACGCGUAUCGUUCGGUACCCGUGGCAUCUACGAGUCAUUGCUUUCUAAGGUUUGUAUGGGGUCUUCGGUCUUGUCAAUUUAUGUGCCUGCCUUUCGGCCUCAGUUCAGCUCGUGGUGCUUCACAAAGCUAUUGAAGCUGGUCAUAGCCCAUUUCCAAUCCAGGCAUCCAUUGCCUUUUCUACCUGGACGACCUCCUGAUCUUCUGUGACGCAGAAUCCAGACUGCGCUCACAGACGUACUUUGUUGUUCACUUUCUGGAGUCUUUGGGCUUUGUGGUGACCAGACAAAAGUCACCCCAUUCCCAUUCACUGGUCAUGCAGUCCCUCGGUUUCAAGAUAGACUCGAGGGAUUGUGUCCUCCAACUACUUGCCACGAAGAUUGCAUCCAUCCAAAAGGAGAUUCAACGGAUUCUACGCACGAAUAUGGUGCCCCUGCGACUCCUCGCCAGGAUAAUGGGCCUUAUGCCUCCUCGACCCAGGCAAUAUUUCUGGGGCCUCUGCACUACGGAGCUCUGCUAUGACUGAAGGCAAAACAUUUGCGUCUGGGUCACUCAUACGACCAUUGGAUACCCCUAUCGGGAGAGGUGCAGACAGAACUUCGUUGGUGGCUACUCCACAUGCAAGCCUAGAACGGCCAUCAUGUGGAAUCCUGCUCCGCAUGGACAACUUUUCGGCGGUCCAAUACUUCAACCGCCUGGGCGGAGCCAGAUUGGCUCCUAGAUGUCUCUACUUUCCACACAUUGAUGGACCUCAGGGGUCCACUAAACAUGGACCUGUUUGCAUCCAGAACGAACCAGCAACUCCCGAGGUUCUUCAACUGGCUGCCGGAUCCAUAUUGCAAAGCAGUGGACGUUUUCCUCUAAAUUUGGCCGGACGAGGGAGCCUAUGCCUUCCCGUCGUUCACGUUCCUCCUUAUCACUCCCCUCGGGCAGAGUCAAGUGUGUCUCCUGGACUUUCUGGAACUGUCUCAUACAGGAUUCAUGUUGUCUAGGCCUCCUGCACCUAAAUAUCCUCGUUUCUGGGACGUAGAUUUAGGGCUGCGUUUUUCUUCAAGGCAGACCAGAUAAUUCGGGCUUAUCACUGAGUCACCUUUCCACCUUUUCCAGUUACUAUGCUGUUGUGCCUCAUCUCCUUCUGACUUGUUUUGGAUGUUUGGAUCCUUUUCCCUGGAUGGCGUUUCCUUUGUUUUACACGUGGGACAGGAUCGGAUUCUUCCUCCGUUUCGUAUCCAUUUUUUCUAGCAAUCCCUGACUGUGCAUUAUGGACACGCUUUUGCGGUAUAUCAAGGUUACGGCGCCCUUACAGACUGCCCCUUGGAACCAACUUUUGGUGUCAUAGGUUAAACCCCAUAACCCUGUCUCGACUACGACGCUGGCCAGCUGGAUCCGCUUGCUUUUGUCUUUGGCUGGAAUAGAUUCCAGCUUCGGUGCACUCUCUGAACGCAGAGCAGCCGCGUCACGAGCGUUCAUAGCGGGCGCGUCAUUAGCCAAUAUCAUGCGAUGCGUGGACUGGUCACAGGGAAUCUAUGCUCUGUGUGUUUUAUUUCAGACAGUCCUCUCACGCUUAUUUAACUUUUCUAAAUUCUCAGAGUUAAAACUGCAAAUAUGAAGCCUCCUGUCGUGAUAAAAUUGUAAAUUAUGUUAACGUAGUGUACCAAUUAUCUUAAUUUUAGUAAUGACAGGAGGCGAAUAUUUCCCAACCUAUUGUCUCUUCCCAUCCUGGAAUUUCUAUAUUUCGAUAUUUCUGUCAUUUUUUUUUUCUAUGAUAUUAGGAUCAUAUAUGGUGUUAUUAUAUGUAUUGUAUGGUAUUAUCGUCUUCAAGUAGCUAGAUAGAUUGGUAUAGUCGUUUCUACUGGCUAGGCAUGACUGUUAUAUCUAAUAUACAUCUAAUUUAAGUAGUAGAUCGACAGUUAUAGUAUGUUAGCUUAAAAGUACACUACAUUAGCAUAAUCUACAAUUAAUUAUUUUAGGUGUUUUAUCGAUGUUUUACACUAUCUUGAUGAUUUCUUGUUUAUUGAUCCAACCAACUCAGUCAGUCACAUAUUCUCUUUCUUUUUAACACACUAAAUAUUCUGGUGGCAACACACAAGACACAAGGGCCUUGCACAUCACUAUGUUUUCUGGGCAUUAAUCUGGACACUCUGGCAAUGCAGGCUAGACUUCCACAAUAAAAAAGUUGGCAGUUAUUCUCAAAUUCACUCAAAGCAAGACAUGUACCUGUAGUCGUGUACCAGGGGCUUCGUAAAAGGAGUGCAACAGCCCUCCCUCCAAUGUGCUCCAGUUCAUGAUCCCCAUCCAAAUUCCUUCCUUUAAUGGUCUUAUAUAUUAUCCAACCUGGUUGGCCAUCUUUAGGCCUACCUUAACUGGCAAUCUUGGCACACCUCAGACCAUACACUAUACACUUUACAUUUCAGGCCAAGCCUACAAAUACUUUUAUUUUUAAAAGUGGACUGUUUUAAACACCCUCAAUGUCACCUUGAACAAAUGAGGCAUGUGUGCUGAAUAAAAUGCUAGUGUUAUAUAAAUAUGUAGAGCCAUAAUCAUUGCUGGGCAUACUUAAUUUCGUAAUAAGCUUCAUUCCACAAGGUAGAUCAUUUAUUUUACGUAUCAUGGUAUUGCUUUCCAUGGGGUCUGACUCAAGUAGUGUCAUUCAGUUAGACCAAGUAGCAUGGGCAGAUCUGCAAAGGUGGCAGGGAUUUUUUGAUUAAUUGGAAAAGUAUCUCUAGGUUCAUUCCUAAACCUUCCGAAUCAUCUCCUAGAGUUGCGGUGACAUUUUGGUGAUCAAUGGUUGGUUGAUUUUCUUUGGCAAAGAGAUCUUUGUGGAGAUGGACAAUGGUGGUCUUGUGAGAUGUCUUCCUGGAGCUACUGCUCACAGAGAUAGGAGACGUAUUUGUAAUAUUGUUAAGUGAGCAAAGCAGGAAGGGGACUUGGAUGUACUUGUCCAUCUAGGAACAAAUGACUUGGCUUGUAAUGAGGUUUCAGAGGUAAAGGAAGUUUUUAGUGUUUUUGCCAAUGAUAUACGGCAGGUUGCUUCCACACUGUCAUUCUCUGAAGUUCUGCCUGUGCAUAACACUCAGAACAACAGGCGUAUGCAUAUUAGGGACUUUAACUUGUGGCUUGGUGAAUGGUGUCAGGAGCAAGGAUUUGGCUUUAUUUCUCAUGGUAGCUCUGUUUGGAAUGGAAAUAAACUGUACAAAAGAUGGUUUGCAUCUUUCUCAAAAGGGAACAAAUGUUCUCAGUGAGCAGUUCAGAGGUUUUGCUAGGAUCACUGGCGUACAUACCACGGUCGCAGGGGUCGCGGCUGCGACCGGUCCUGGCCCACAAGGGGGCCCGCCCGCCCUGUGACCCGGUAUGUACGCCAGUGUGGCCAGCUUCUUCUCCUGGGGGGCCCAGGAGUUGGCAACCUCAGAGUUGGCUGGUCCUGGUGCUCUCUGCCCAGCUCCCUCGCGCACCGCACUGAUGCCAGAGUUGGAAUAUGAUGUCACUUCGGCUCCGGCAUCAGUAUGUGGCGCGUGAAGGAGGUGGGCAGAGAGCUCUCAGGGGAGAGUGCUUCCUCGCGCGCCCGCCAGCCAGCCAACCCGGUGACCGGCCGCCCAGCAGCACUACGGGACCCCAGGGAAUCCCCUAAGCUCUCCCAAGGGUAAGGAGGCUGGGGGGGUUAAAUUUUAACCCCUUAAGGACCAAACGUCUGGAAUAAAAGGGAAUCAUGACAUAUCACACAUGUCAUGUGUACUUAGGGGUUAAAGAAACGUGUGUGUGUGUUAGUGUUAGAGUGUGUGUGUUAGUGUUAGUUUUUGUGUGUCAGUGUGUGUGUUACUGUGUGUCUGCUAGUGAGUGUCAGUGUGUGUUAGUUUUUGUGUGUGUUAGUUUGUGUGUGUCUGCUAUUGAGUGUCAGUGUGUGUUAGUUUGUGUGUCAGUGAGAGUGUAUGUUUUGUAAGUGAGUGUGUAUGUGUGUCGGUCUGUCAUUGAGUGUGUGUGUAUGUAUGUCUGUAACCGAGUAUGUCUCUGUCAGUAAAUGUGUGUGUCUGUUAGCCAUUGAGCUGAAGUGAUCUAGGUGUCUAUAGUGGUCCUUUAAGUGUAUGUGUAUCUGCGUACAUACCGCGGUCGCAGGGGCCACAGACCUGCGACCCCUGCGACCAGGUGCCCACCGCCGUGCGCCUCUGCGCGUGGGGGGGAGGCCACGGAUCAAUUUUCGCACCGGGGCCCCAUGGGUCAUGUGUACACUACUGGCAAGGAUUUAUUUAAACAAGAUGGGGGGGCAAAAGGGUGAUAAAAAAAUCAAUCCAAUUGCCCCCCAAAACAAGGACAGAAUGUGCCUGUAGCAAGUGUGUUAAAAAAUGAUAAGCUUAGAGUCAUGUCUUCAAAUGCUCGCAGUUUAGGGAAUAAGAUCCAUGAACUUGUGGCAAUAAUGGCAACUGAUAAUGUAGAUUUAGUCGCUGUUACUGAGACAUGGUAUAAUGAAAAAAUUGACUGGGACAUAGCAAUACCAGGGUACUCUUUAUAUAGAAAAAACAGGGAAGGCAAGAAAGGGGGAAGGGUUGCCCUGUAUGUGAAAGAUAGUGAAAGUUAGUGAAGUUAACAUAGAGUCCGUUUGGGUUACGUUAGAAUUUGGUAAUCACACAGUAACUCGUGUAGGUGUGAUUUAUAGGCCCCCAGGACAAAUUGAAGAGUUAGAUAAUCUACUAGUUGAGAAAAUAGCUAAAAUGACAAUGAAGGGGGAAGUUAUCAUAAUGGGUGACUUUAAUCUUCCUGAUGUGAAUUGGAAAACCAAAAUAGCUGCCUGUGCCAGGAGCACACACAUUCUAAACUCCAUACUGGGAUUGUCUCUAAAGCAAGUCGUUGAGGAGCCAACUCGUAAGGAGGCCAGGAAAUGCUAGCAGAAUGCUUGGUUGUAUAGUGAGAGGUAUUAGCAGGAGAAAGAGUGUCUGUAUGCAUGUAUGUGUGUGUCUGUAUGUAUGUGUGCCUGUCUGUAUGUAUGUGUCUUGUGUGUGCCUGUCUGUAUGUGUGUACCUGUAUGUAUGUAUGUGUGCCUGUCUAUUAUAGUGGGCUAUAGUAAGUAAUAGUAAGUGGGAUACCUAGCUCAGCCUUCCUACUAGGCAUUGCUAUAAGGAAGGAUAAAAAAAAAAAUUUUAAAAGGGAAAAAAAAAGGUAGGGAGGGGAAUUGAGGAGGGAGAGGAGGGGAGCUGACGCACAGAUGAGAAAUCAUAUUAUGCGCAAACAGAGAAGUCAUCUGAAGUCUAAGAAGUCUAAGUUAAAAACAUUAUAAACAUGCAUUAAUUAGAAAUAAAAAGAUAAAUGUACGUACAUUUAUUUAUUUUUAAAAUACACUCCUUUCUAAAAAAUAUUCUGCACUUGCGCGAAACCUGGUGGGCGGGAAGGAGAUUUUUUAAACCAAAGAGAUGCAUUUGUGGGCGGUAGGUAGAAAAAGGUUGACUACCACUGCUUUAGAGAGAGUUUAGAGAAGGGCUACUAAGCUGGUUCAUGGAUUGCAAGAUAAAACUUACAAGGAAAGGUUAAAGGAUGUUAACAUGUUAAGCUUGGGGGAAAGAUGAGACAGGUGGAUAUGAUAGAAACAUUUAAGUACAUAAAGGAAAUCAACACAGUAAAGGAGGAGAUUAUAUUUAAAAGAAGGACAUAAUCUUAAAUUUUUUAAAGGUUUAAAAAUAAUAUCAGGAAGUAUUAAUUUACUGAGAGGGUAGUGGAUGCAUGGAAUAGCCUUCCAGCUGAAGUAGUAGAGGUUAACACAGUGAAGGAGUUUAAGCAUGCGUGGGAUAGGCAUAAGGCUAUCCUAACUAUAAGAUAAGGCCAGGGACUAAUGAGAGUAAUUAGAAAAUAGGGCAGAUUCGAUGGGCCGAAUGGUUCUUAUCUGCUGUCACAUUCUAUGUUUCUCGGAUCACCCCCUUUAUGUCUGCUACCUCUCAGGAUUCAGGCCUCAUUCUCCACUACCUGCUUGCCCACUCCAGCUACUCAUGUGCCUCAUUUCAUGUCUACAAUCAGACCUUGUCUGUGCAAUCCUCAAUCUCUCACCCUGACAAUCAACUUAUCCAUUAUAUUGUUACUCUGGACUCUACUUUCAAGUCUCCACUUACAGUAAAUCUUCAUCAUUACCUAUUGUUAUUUACUCGCUCCAAAGACUCUGCUCAUUCUCAAACUUUACAACAAUAUCCUCUCAACUAUGUUGCUCUGUAUCCUGUCAUUCUGCUAAAGCUUGCAGUUGUCCAAAUCUCUCUGCUGCCCCUACUGGGCAACCUGAGCAGUGAAUACCUACUCAGAACCUGCAGGCUGUUUAAGAUACCUCCUACCAUAUUGCUCCUAGUGGCUUACAUACCACGGUCGCAGGGGUCGUAGCUGCGACCGGGCCCGUCACUCCAGGGGGCCUGGCCGCCCUACAGACCCCUGCAACCAGGUGCCCACCUCUAUGUGUUGCGGCCCCGGCCGCACUGGAUAAUUGCUGGGGCCGCAUGUGAAGGGGCCCAUCGGGUGGCCCAUGCUGUUAGGGCCACCCGAUGGAAAUUAAUUUCAGUAUCAGAGUGGGCCCGGUAACAGCACAGCUGGACCCCCUCUGAUGAUUUUAGAUGCUGGGAGGAAGUGACUGCCCGGUCACUCCUCACAGCAACCACGAGGAGCUGCGCAGGAGGAAGGAGAGGGAGUCAGAGUGGGAACUCUGACUCCCAUCAUCCUGAGCCACUGGACCCCAGGUAAGUCACCCUCCUGCACCUAAAAGGUAGGUAAUAGGAGGGUGACUUAAAUAUUUUGCGUGUGUGUAUCUAUGUAUGUGUGUCUGUGUCUAUGUAUAUGUCUGUCUGUAUGUAUCUGUGUGUAUGUGUGUGUGUAUGUGUGUCUGUAUGUAUAUGUCUGUGAGUGUGUCUGCAUGUAUGUGUAUCUGUGUGUGUGUGUGUGUGUGUGUGUGUGUGUGUGUAUCUCUGUGUGCGUCUGUAUGGGGUGGCAGUGAGGGGUGGCGUGUUUUGCACCGGGGCCCCAUGGAUUUUGUCCACUGUUUGCACCCUAUAGAUCUACUGGUUAAGUCUACUUAAUUGUUGCCAAUCAACUCUUAUCCUACUUAAGGAGUUCUACAUAAUAGUAUAUUCACUCAAUUGUCAUAGGAUGUUAUUACUGUUGAAAGGUAUUUGCAAUAUGUGUUUCAAUAAUCAUUGUUAUUACAAAGUUAACUGUAUUGUGUUGCUCAAGUGUCACAGUCUAUGCCAAAAGUGAUAGAGUGCUAUCAUUUGCUGUUAAAACAUUUGUCUCCUCCAAUUAUUACACAAUAGUACAUCACUACUACGAUUUGUAACACCUUAAAAGAGACUUUCUGAAGUCUAAAUUACUGAAGAUGUCAUGCAUUUUAUCUAUCUAUUUAAAUAGCUAAACUGAACAUGGGAAGACGACUGAGUUCCAACAGAGCUCAUAAUGAGAUACCACCAAUACAAAUGACCAAAUUCAAUAUUCUUAGAGUUGGAGAUAGAAUUUAAAUUAAAAUUUCCAGUUUUUAGUUAAACCUAUUGGAGUUCAUGGUAAAUCUGUUAAAUUCAUGUUCCUACAGUCUUCACUUUCGCCUUGUUGUUCUCUGUUUCACACUGCACUUGCAUUGUCUAAGCUACUCAAGGGUCCUCCUACAAUGAAUUAUCGUAGGGAUUGACAAAAGCUUGCCAUUAUGAUGACCUCCAUAAAGAUAGUAGGAUCUCAAAAAUAGGGAAGCCACAUGGAAGAAAAAAGCCCACACCAAUUAAUUCUUUUCGAUCUUUUCAGUCCUUUAUAAUAAGAAUACCUGGUAAGUCUAAAUAGAUACCGAUAUACCUGUUUCACUGGGAGGGGCACAUUAAAAGAGAAACACACACUAGUAAUUAUUUGUAUAAUAGUCAGAUUCCAUUAUCUUCUGGACAUAGCAUUACUGUUAUGAAUAGAAAGUCUAUUGAACACAUUCUUACAGAGAGAACAAUUUGGAAACACCAUAUUUGUUAAAAAAAUAAAACAUAAAAAUACAAAAAGAUAUACAAAGAUAUAUCAUAAAAAGAUAUUCAAACAUAUAAAGGAAAGGUAAGUUUAUCUGAAUACAGAGAUAAAGAUUUUUCCACAAAUAUACACUGAUCAGCCACAACAUUAAAACCACUGACAGAUGAAGUGAAUAACAUAAUAAUAAUAAUAAUAAUAAUAAUAAUAAUAAAGUAUUUAACCAGGAAAGGUACAUUCAGAUUACUCUGGUUUUCAAGUACGUCCUGGGGAUGUUGAUCAUAUUGUUACAAUGGCACCUGUCAUGGGGUGGAAUAUAUUAGACAGCAAGUGAACAGUUAGUUGUUGAAUUUCAUGUGUUAGAAGUAUGAAAAAUGGGUAAGUGAAAAAGAUCUGCAUGACUUUGAAUAGGGCCAAAUAGUGAUGGCUAGGUGAGCAUUUCCAGAACGGCAAGUUUUGUGGGGUGUUUCUGGUAUGCGGGGGUUACCAUAAGUGGUGCAAAAAAGGACAACCAGUGAACUGGCAUCAGGGUCAUGGGAUCCCAAGGCUUUAUUUUCUGUCAAUUUCUGUUUUAAUAAGGCAAUAGAGAAUAUGGUACAGAAUAAAGAAAAGGGAGUUUUAAACAAGGAACAUAAGGCAUAUGUGCAAUGUAAAUACAGUAUCAUUGAAACUCAAGUGUAAGAUUGCCUCAUUUAUUUAUUUUGUAAGAGCUAAGUGGGUUGAUGUGAUCAGGGUAGCAAUGGGUAAGUCCCAUAGCGAUUUUGUUGUCCCAAGUGAGGAACUAAUCCUUAGCCUAUUCCCAGGGUGAGAAAGUGCAGAUCACAUGUGCAAAGGGUUUGCAAGGCAGCAAUACCAGGAGUGUGGUGCAGGGCAGCAUUUUCGUGCCACAGACUUGGGUGCUGCUGGAGACCAAGUCCCUUCCCACGGGGGAAGAACAGAAGGCCUUGAUGGUGCAUAUUCGCUGGUAGCGGGUGGUCUUCCGUCUACUUGAAUGAUGCAAUGGGGUCUUGUCCCUGAUGGACCUUGGCCCAGGCUGGCCAGUAGUGGAGGAUAUCAUCUUUGACUGAGGUAAGUGCCCGACGGGGAUCCAAUCACCCCUCGGCUCCUGCUCUCACAUUCCCCUUUUUGAGGUUGUGGUGGUAAGGCUGUUUGCUGUUUUGCUAGAGAGGCUCAAAAACGGUCAAAGAUUUAAUUAAGCCACCUCACGGUUUGUGUCACCAGGUCAGAAAAAGCAAGCCUGGGCAACACUUGCUUGAGGCCACGUGAAGGAUUUAUCUUACGGAAUUGAGCUGCGCCGGGGUACCUGCGGUACGGCUACAGGGAUCAAGGCUAUUGUGUGCUGCAAGCCAGUGGGGACCUGUUAGGGACCAGGAACCAGACAGAAACAGAACUAGAUGAUAAAAUAGAAAAUAAACUAAUAUCCAAAAGCAAAGUGCAGGAGGCAAGCAGGGGUCAGGCACCAAAGCGGGUAGUCAGACGAGCCAGGAUCAGGGGAAUGGAGAGCAGCGAAGUCAGAAACAAGGCCAGAGUCAGGAACCAGGAACAAACAGGAACUCACAGGAACAAGGAGACUUCUGGGGAACAGGAAACCACACAAGGGCAAGGAGGUACUGGGAUUUGCUGCUUAAAUAGGCUGCCUACUAUUAGGUGAGUAACCGUGGCAACAUACUGAAGGAGCUGAUCGUUAAUCUCUGCUCAAAACUCAGACACAGAAAAAGGAAGGGUUGCUGUUUAAAACAGCAAAGAAACCCUGACAGCACCGAGAUUAAGCUUGGAGCUCACAGCAAGAACAUCCAGCCGCCAUAAAGCUUUGGCCCCAAACCCCUCAAAGCCAAUUGAUGACAUUUUCUAUUCCAUUUCAGUGAUAUAGGAUUUGAUUAAUGUCCCAUUAAUGUAUAACUUUAUGGAACUUACCAUCAUUGCAUGAUUCUUCAUAGUCCUCCAAUAGUGGCCAAGUCCAUAAGAGCAGCAGUCACAUUUAUUUACAUAAACAUUUGGAGACUCAUAUUUUAGGCUUAUUGAAUACCACGAAAGAACUAUCUGACAAUGAGUCAUGAAUUACUAAAUUCAUUAAAAAAAUAUGAAUGAUAUUAGAAGUCACUCUGUAGCUUUUAUUAGCUUUCUAAAGUAGACAUGGAGAGAUUCACGGGGGUCAGAAAUACUUACUUGUACCUGUUGCGGAACCACGACGGCUCUUCACGGGCUUAAAAACCAGCCAAUCACAGUGCAUCAUUGUAGGUAUCUAUCUCCCGAGUGACUUCCCAGGGGCAUUGGCUCUGACAUCCACAUUAUAGGUCCCCCACUGGGACUAUGAGCUCUUUGAGAACCAACUAUGCCAACUGCAUAAUAAACAAGUAGCUUAAAAUUAUCAAACGGAGUCUAAACACUAGAGUGAUUUGGUUACUGAGAAGCUGACAUGAUAUGUAUAUUUUUUGACAACUAAAGUAUUUGGAAGGUCAACUGUCAACUCAACAAUUUGACAGGAUUUAUUCUAAACAAACAAAAAAAAAUGUAAUGUAUUAUGAUCUUUAGAACUUAAUUAUGAUGUGACUCAUCCUCUUCCCAUGUGGACAGCAUGAAAUAAUCUUGUGGGAAUGGUGUCAUAGUUGAUCCCUGGAGCAUUCUAAUUUUUAUUUUCCCCCUCACCCUCAGUGAAAGCCCUCAUUUGCACAAGUAGGUGCCAUACGCAGGCUCUCAUUAUAAAAACAAGGGUCACUAGAAGCCAGAUGGAACUAAAGGUUGGACAGCUGAAAUAACAAUGUAGUAUUUACAUUUCUACACAGGUGAUCCUGAGGAGGAAGCAGUAAAUCCAGGAACCCACAUGCUGAGGCUGAAGGUGGAGAUUGAAGAUACAGCAAAAGAAUGUUAGGCAGAAGGACAACUAAGUUGGAAUCAUCAGUGCAUUCACAAGGAACCGUUCUCAAAAAACCUCAGAGACUACUUUAAUGAUCAUUGAACUUCCUAUUACAAAUCUUUAUGUUCUUGUUUGGUAUUCAAGGCAUCCUUUACCCUUUAACCCCACAGUGAUCUUUUAAUCCAUUCAGGGCAUGAAUUUUGUCUCCUGCACUGCAAGUGUUAAAUUAACCUCCAUAUGUAUCAAAUUGUUAAAGCCACAAGAGUAGCAAGAGGGGAAACACAAGCCUAUAAAAAUGUGGAACAAGAGUGGCAUAUUAGACUGAUGAGCUCUCAUGUUAAAAUUUAGACCACAAAGAUAAAGAAAUGAAGAUAAAUGAAGCAAUAACAUAUAUCCAUACAGCAUUCUCAAAGACACCAGAAAAGCAUAUUUUUCCAUCAAGGUGAUCAUUUAUUGCAUAAGGACAUGGCAGUGUACAGACC